UACGGAGGGUGCAAGCAUUAAUCGGAUUUAUUGGGCGUAAAGGGCGCGUAGGCUGGAAGAUAAGUCAGUUGUGAAAUCCCGGGGCUCAACCUCGGAACAGCAAUUGAAACUAUCAUCCUAGAGGCUAGAUGGAGAAAACGGAAUUCCACAAGUAGCGGUGAAAUGCGUAGAUAUGUGGAAGAACACCGGUGGCGAAGGCGGUUUUCUAAUUUAGACCUGACGCUGAGGCGCGAAAGCAAGGGGAUCAAACAGG
RNAcentral lists this ribosomal RNA (253 nucleotides) under uncultured bacterium. RNAcentral's name for it is "partial 16S ribosomal RNA". It matches the Rfam family "Bacterial small subunit ribosomal RNA", at positions 524 to 776 of the family's 1533-position model. The record is from RNAcentral.